AACGAACGCUGGCGGCAUGCCUAACACAUGCAAGUCGAACGAGACCUUCGGGUCUAGUGGCGCACGGGUGCGUAACGCGUGGGAACCUGCCCUUAGGUUCGGAAUAACUCCCCGAAAGGGGUGCUAAUACCGGAUAAUGUCUUCGGACCAAAGAUUUAUCGCCUUUGGAUGGGCCCGCGUUGGAUUAGCUAGUUGGUAGGGUAAAAGCCUACCAAGGCGACGAUCCAUAGCUGGUCUGAGAGGAUGAUCAGCCACACUGGGACUGAGACACGGCCCAGACUCCGACGGGAGGCGGCAGUGGGGAAUAUUGGACAAUGGGCGAAAGCCUGAUCCAGCAAUGCCGCGUGAGUGAUGAAGGCCUUAGGGUUGUAAAGCUCUUUUACCCGGGAUGAUAAUGACAGGACCGGGAGAAUAAGCUCCGGCUAACUCCGU
RNAcentral lists this ribosomal RNA (432 nucleotides) under uncultured bacterium. Its description in RNAcentral is "partial 16S ribosomal RNA". It matches the Rfam family "Bacterial small subunit ribosomal RNA", at positions 29 to 506 of the family's 1533-position model. The record is from RNAcentral.